Molecule: RNA transcript, 3974 nt
Organism: Tympanuchus pallidicinctus (lesser prairie-chicken)
Lineage: Eukaryota; Metazoa; Chordata; Aves; Galliformes; Phasianidae
Gene: AUH
Gene name: AU RNA binding methylglutaconyl-CoA hydratase
Exons: 12
Source: RefSeq, a predicted model, not a curated record
UUCGGGAGCGAGGCUGGCGGCUGAGGGGCGCAGGCGGCAGUAUGGCGGCGGCGCUGGGUGGCUUGGGCCUCUUGCACGGCCGGUUCAGGCUAGCCGCCGCGGCCGCUGCCACCUCCUCCACCCUCGGCCCCCGGACUCCGGUGCGAGGAGGUGCCGCCGCUUUCCCCUCAGCCGGGAGGAGCUAUGGAUCGGAGGCGAAGGAGGAGGAGGAGCUGCGAGUGCGGUACCUGGAUGAAGAGCACAAAGGAAUUGUGGUGCUUGGGUUAAACAGAUCUCAUGCCAAGAAUGCACUUAACAAAAAUCUUUUAAAAAUGAUGUCAAAAGCUGUGGAUGCUUUGAAAUCUGAUAAGAAAGUACGAACUGUUAUAUUCCGAAGUGAAGUCCCAGGGAUAUUCUGUGCUGGCGCUGACCUUAAAGAAAGAGCGAAAAUGCAUUCAAGCGAAGUCGGUUCUUUUGUCUCAAAAGCAAGAGCAACUAUUAAUGAGAUGGCUAAUCUUCCAGUACCAACUAUUGCUGCAAUCGAUGGAACUGCGUUGGGUGGUGGCCUGGAACUUGCUUUAGCCUGUGACAUAAGAGUGGCAGCCUCUUCUGCUAAGAUGGGCCUGGUUGAAACGAAGUUGGCAAUCAUUCCAGGUGCAGGGGGAACACAGAGAUUACCUCGUACAAUUGGAGUAUCUUUGGCUAAAGAGCUAAUCUUCUCUGCACGCAUCGUGGACGGUGAGGAAGCAAAGUCAAUAGGAUUGAUUAGCCAUGUGGUAGAACAGAAUGAAGCAGGGGAUGCUGCAUACAGACGAGCACUAGCUCUGGCAAGAGAAUUUUUACCUCAGGGACCAGUAGCAAUGAGAGUUGCAAAGCUGGCCAUUGAUCAGGGAAUGGAGGUUGACUUAGUAACAGGCCUAGCAAUUGAAGAAGCUUGUUAUGCUCAGGAUGAACUGUGGUCAGUGUCCAUUCUGUGACGAUAAAGCAGCUGUUCAACAUGAAGUGACAAGAACUCAUUUAAAUUCACAUUUAGGCAUAUCAUUACAUGUAAAUUGGUUUUAACUGGUAGAGCACACACUUUAUUAACUGGUGAACUUGCUGAGUUGAUCAUUUCGUGCAUGAUAAUUUGCAAAUAAAGUACCGGUGCUUGUUUUUAUAGUCAUAUAAAGCCUUGAGGGUCAUUUUCUCCUGUUUUUGAAAUGCUAACAUGUCAUUUUCAUUUUUACUGAGCAGGAAAUAAUUACGUUAAUGAGAUUUUAAAAAAUACUAAGUCUGUGCUGACUGAUUUGUGUUUGUGUAUAACUUUGAUGUACUGUCAGGUUAUUGAGAUGUCUUUGGUUUCUUAACAAGGACUGAUUAACUGCUUUCCAUGAAUGUUUUUUAUAACAAACUUAACUUCACAUACCGUGAUGUGAGACGGUAGAUUUGUGCCUUUAACUAGCAGUUUUGAUUUCAGAAAAUAAUUUUGCUGUCAUAGUCUCUAUUCCUUUUCUAAGGAGAAGAUAUUGUUGGAUUGUGGCAACUUGAAUCUCUUCUUUGAAGUUAAGAAUUUGAAUGCUAUUUAAAAUUGAGUACCAUUAGCAUGGUACUUAAAGGUUCUAGGUAGUGAUAUUGCAAUAGAGGAAUUUUUGCAAAGAAUGUGUUGAACACUUACUGUCUCUGUUCUUAAGUAACUAGCAUUAUGAUGACUUUCAAUUGCUCCUAGUAAAUAGCAGUGUUAGAUUUCUACUUCCAUGAAAGGAUGGUUUGCAACAGAAAUGCUCUUAUAAAGCCCCAUUUUUAUUAGGAAAGUUAUGAUCUGGCAGAUCCUCCUUCAAGUGCUUAGACUCGGUUCUUUCAGUUUGUGGUAAAGCCGUGCUUUUCUCCACAAUAUCUCAAUAGUAAAUGGCCCCUGAUCUCUUCUGAUUUCCUGAAAGGUUAUUUCAUGGUUCCCCAAGCAUAAGCAGCUCCUUAUCCUUGCUUUUGCUCAACUGAAGUGGAUACUGAAUUCUUCUGUACUUCAAUAUUGAGUUCAGUAUCAAAAGGUUAUAUUACAGGUAGAUCAGUUACCUUGAGCGUCUCAGUGGUGUAAGUUCAAGUGCCAAACAGUCCAAGUAUUCUUGCAGAAGUUAGUGUGUGAAUUUAUAUAACCCAUAUACCUCAUUUUUGCUUCUAACCUAUGAAAUCAUUAAUAUGGAAGCAACUCACGUCUCACUACUUUUACUAAGUUUCUGGCUGAAGUUUUAAGAAUUGUCUGAAUAACAUCAGUCACUUCAGUGCCUUUGAGUAUCUCACCUGCUAUGAAGAAACCUGGUCCUUUUUUCUCAGAUUGUGUAAUGAUACACUUAAGAGCACUUGAAGAAUGUUAUUUUGUCUAACAAUCUGUGGAAUUUGUAGAACCAUUUGUGCCGGGUUGUUGAAAUUCUGUCAGUCUAUGCACAAUUACUCGUAGUCUUACUUCAGUGUUCGUAUCUGCUUUUUAGCAACUGCUUUUAACUACCUGCAUUCAAAAUAGUAAAUGCUAGGAUGUAUCAUUUGCAGCUGUUUCAUAUUUAUGUCAGUCAUUGUUCUGUGAUGUAUCUGUUGAAUUCAGCAGAAACGAACUGGUCUCUUCUACAGAACAGAGACUAGCUUGAAUUUGUCUUCGGAAGACAUGGGAAGUAAAUUAAUGUGUUCAGUAUUACUGGUACUUCAUAGUACCAAAAAACGGCUCAUAGAUGGAAAAUGAAAACAGUGAUUGACGUAUCUUAAUUUAUCACCAGUUUAGUUUUUGUUUCAUUACUUCUCCAUGUAAGCAAAUACCUGGAAAGGUGUCUAUUGAGAUUAGUCAAGAUUUAUAAUAUUCAGGAAAAAAAAAAGUUGGUAUUUUUUCUGGUGUAAACAGAACAAGAUAUACUUCCAUCUCUCAUUUAUGAAGUUUUACACACAUCCAACCACUGAUGAAAAGUCAUAGGACUUAAUUGUCUAGUGAAAUUUGUACAUUUAAUGCACUUACGGUGUGAUGACAGUGCAGCUAUUUUAAGAUGUUCUUUUUCUGCACAUUUCUAGAAAGACAUCUAUUUCCAAAAGUGAGAGAAGGAGAAUAGUUGUGAACAUAUAAGCCAAAAGGAGAGAUGUGUUCAGCUAAAGAUUUCAUUUUGUCAGAGUCUGUUGCUCAGCUGUCUCCUCUUUGAACCUCGAAGUGAAUUUGAAUGUUACAUGUGACUUGUCUGGUGUUAUUGCUGAGUACAGUAUCCUCCAUCAAAACCAAGGCUGGCAGCAGUAGCUGAUGCUUUCCUGAGCAGCUCUGCUCACUGUGCUACAGCCUACUACUAGGAGUAAAAGAACAGUUUGAUUCUCAUCACUAUCUUCUUUGAACUUGUCUACAGGAUAAGAAAACCCCCAGAAGUGACACUUUUAGGUCAGGAGCUGAAACACCUCAUCUGACUGGAUGAGAGCAGUGUUUUGUUUCAAACACGUUGAACAGAUUUUCUUGAUCAAAAAACUUAUGUGCAUGUAACCAAGUCAAAACUAUCCAGUUUCAGUCCAUCAGAUUGGCAUUUUGCAGAUGUAGGGUAUCUGUCCUCUGACCUUAUCAGUCAACAUCUAGGACUGACUGUUUUAUAAACUGUAGCCUUGUUCAACUGCAGUGAAUAAUUUGGUAGUGGGACUGUCAUUUUCAGAGAAAACAUGCUUCUGUCCAAUGAUGCACUGUAAAUAAGCACCAUAAAAUUUUAGUCCUUAUGUUUCCUUCUACAGUCAUUUUUACUUGUUUAUACUCAUGUAGUCUCACAGUGAAUAAAAAUGAUAGUCUUGUUCUUCAUCCUGUUGCUCAGAUGAAAUGAGGGUCAGGAAUUUGAUAAGCAUUGAAGAACACAGAAGAAAAUCUGUACCUUCACCUUAAAUUAUGAUAUAACUAAUCUAACCUUCAUUUGUACAUUCUUUUCUGUCCCUAAGGAUGGAAUCUGUGUGUGGUGGUGGUACUUUUCAAAAAUGAAGUCUGUAGUUCCUAGAAAUAAAGUCAAUUUAUAAGCACA